This is a non-coding RNA of Phrynosoma platyrhinos (Desert horned lizard), 72 nucleotides long. NCBI's taxonomy places the organism in Eukaryota, Metazoa, Chordata, Lepidosauria, Squamata, Phrynosomatidae. The record is from the annotation of a GenBank genome assembly.
AGCCAGAGUGGUAUAGUGGUUUCAGCACUGGACUGUGACUCUGGAGAUCUGGGUUCGAUUCCUGCUCGGCUA